CGCUCGCGUCCCUGCCUUCUCCGCCCUCGCGCCCCUGCCUCCUGCGCCGCCGCCCACCACCCCCCUGCCCUGCCUCAGCCUCCUCCGCUGCCAUGCCGCUCGCCCGCUCCUUCGUCCCCGCGCCCCUAUCUCGCGACGCCCCCACAUUGCCUCCGAUUCGACCGCGCGACCGCGCUCCUCCCCGUCCACACCGCCGCUUCCCCCUUCCCCGUCCGUGCCGUCCUCCUGCGCCGCCGCCCCUCCGCGCGGCCGCGCCCCAUCCACCGCCUGCGCCGCGUCCCCCCUCCAAAUUUGCCACCCCAUCCAUCCACCCGCCCCCUUCCAGGCGACCAUAUGCCCUCCCAGUCCCCAUCACUCCACAUCCGCACGCGCUUCCAGCCUCCUCCAAACCCUCGGCCAACCGCCUCCACCACCUUCAUCUCCAUGGUGAGACAACGGCCGGUCGUGACCCUGCAAAGGAGGUAGCGCCUGCGACACCGGCAAUAGUCCUCCGCCUCAUCGUCGUCUCUACGUGCGCGAGAGAUGCCGGCAGCAGCAACAUCUCGUGCAAUCGUGACCGAUCGUGAAGGAGCUGGUGCAGGAUAGAGGUCGCGUGCCUCCGCAUAAUCCAUGCCUGGAUGACCUUGCCCCACGCAUCGUCCUCUCUGGUGCUGGCCUUUCCUUGGCAAUUGGCAUGAGGCGCCGACCGUGGCUUAUGAUCCGUAUCACAGUGUCCAGGGCAUGAAGACCUAUCUGUUCCAUCAGAUGAGAUUAGAAUGUCUGUAUUUUGUUCAUUGGAAGGUCAAGUUUUGAUAUUAGAAAUCGUGAGUGCAACGGUGUGCAAAAAAAAAAGUUCCUAACUUGUUUCGUGUAAUCUGAAUCAAGUUUGGAUUUAGGGAUAAAGACUGUUUCUGGACCU
Long non-coding RNA from Panicum virgatum (switchgrass), 898 nucleotides. RefSeq lists it as uncharacterized. The transcript has 2 exons. NCBI's taxonomy places the organism in Eukaryota, Viridiplantae, Streptophyta, Magnoliopsida, Poales, Poaceae. The record is from RefSeq and is a predicted model, not a curated record.